Molecule: ribosomal RNA, 816 nt
Filed under: uncultured Myxococcales bacterium
Lineage: Bacteria; Pseudomonadati; Myxococcota; Myxococcia; Myxococcales
Description: bacterial SSU rRNA
Rfam family: Bacterial small subunit ribosomal RNA
Source: RNAcentral
UCGCACGAGAAAGGGCUUCGGCCCCGGUACAGUGGCGCACGGGUGAGUAACACGUAGGUAAUCUCCCCUCGAGUGGUGGAUAACCCUCCGAAAGGAGGGCUAAUACAGCAUGAGACCACAGCUUCGUUGAAGCUGCGGCCAAAGCAGGCCUCUACAUGUAAGCUUGCGCUUGAGGAUGAGCCUGCGGCCCAUCAGCUAGUUGGUAGGGUAACGGCCUACCAAGGCGAAGACGGGUAGCUGGUCUGAGAGGAUGAACAGCCACACUGGAACUGAGACACGGUCCAGACUCCUACGGGAGGCAGCAGUGGGGAAUCUUGCGCAAUGGGCGAAAGCCUGACGCAGCGACGCCGCGUGAGCGAUGAAGGCCUUCGGGUUGUAAAGCUCUGUGGGGAGGAAAGAAUAAGGUUUGGCUAAUAUCCAAGCCGAUGACGGUACCUCCUUAGCAAGCACCGGCUAACUCUGUGCCAGCAGCCGCGGUAAGACAGAGGGUGCAAACGUUGUUCGGAAUUACUGGGCGUAAAGCGCGUGUAGGCGGCCCUGCAAGUCGGGUGUGAAAUCCCAUGGCUCAACCAUGGAAGUGCACUCGAAACUGCAGGGCUAGAGUCCUGGAGAGGAAGGUGGAAUGCUUGGUGUAGAGGUGAAAUUCGUAGAUAUCAAGCGGAACACCGGUGGCGAAGGCGGCCUUCUGGACAGUGACUGACGCUGAGACGCGAAAGCGUGGGGAGCAAACAGGAUUAGAUACCCUGGUAGUCCACGCCGUAAACGAUGAGUGCUAGGUGUCACGGGCUUUGACCCUCGUGGUGCCGAAGCUAACGC